UGUUGUUUGCUUCGUUAGUUACUCCGUUAUGCUGUGUAUUAGUCUCAUGACGCAGUUUCGUUUUAAAGAGGAGUUCUACUUUCUAUUGUAAGGUAAAAUAGUUGUGCCGGCAGUUUCACCAGUCGCUGCCAGCUUUGUUGAUGUAUCUGUGAUUUACCUUUACAGUAGUAUUGGAGAGUGAAGACCUUAUUAAAGGACGGGAACCUGAAGGAUCGGAAUAAAGUUGGAGUCGUUUGGCGGUUUUAUAGAGGAUCGACUUUAUCGAGCAUUAAUUCAGAAAUGGUGACCUGUAUCUGAGAUAACUCCUGCAAGAGCAGGGAAGUUUGUGCAGUGUCCCCUCGCCAGGAAAAGAGAUACAACACAGUAACAGACCAUUCUGGCCGACCAAGCUCAUGCCACCCAAUGGCACUCAGGGGAUAAAUUAACCUAUGAACCUGUACGUCCCUGGAAAGUGGGAGGAACUGGAACUCCUGGAGGAAUCCACACAGUCACUGUCUGUAAGAACAUACAACUCCUUACUGACCGCAGCGAAACAGAGCCUGAGCUGCUGGCGCUGUAAUGGCAUUAUGCUACCCGCCAUGCUGCCAUGCCAUUCUAAAGAAAACAAGUGCUGGCAUAUUCUGGCUGGGCCCGUGACUUCAAAGUUCAAAGUAUAUUUAUUGAGUACACCCACAAGAAAAUGAAUCUCAGGGAAAUGGUUCUCGGGAGGAGAAGAGAAGCAGCGCGCCGCGCGAGCGCAGCCCUCCGGUGAAAAAUGAUAUUAUAUCUGUUAAAUAGGGCCGUGGACAAUUCUGAUUUGAUGGAGAUGGACGUGAAAGCACAGAGGAACAUCUGGAAAAAUUUCUGAAAAGCUUGUUCGCUGCUGUUAUUACUGCACGGUCGGGAAUCUUUCGGAGGGUAGGCCUCAAAAUCCCCGGCUUUGCCUGCUGUUGGUGACCGAGAUUGAGCUUGAAUCAUUCGGACAGAGAUGGCGCUCAGUACUCGGUGUCGGAGAGCUGAUCAGAGCUCGAAGUUUUCGGAUGACUCAGAGUCGGACCGUGGUCGGGUAUGGCAGGGAGAGUUUUUCUUCCUUCUCUCUGUCUGUGUGAGAUGUGGGAUAUUUGAGAGACUUUGAAAUUUUUACUGUGCUCAUGGACUUCUUCAUCAAGUUAUGGUAUUGUUGCACUGUUGUAACUAUAUGUUAUAAUUAUGUGGUUUUGUUAGUUUUUUUUUCAAGUCUUGGUCUGUCCUGUGUUUUGUGAUAUCACACCGGAGGAAAUAUUGUAUCAUUUCUUAAUGCAUGCAUUACUAAAUGACAAUAAAAGAGGACUGUCUUCAUAAUCUAUAUGGUGCCGUAUAUGUACAUUAUAAUAAAAUUUAUUUUGAACCUUUAAACCAAGUGGCAGCAAGUUAUACCAAGAAUUUGUAACAUAAUAAUAAA
Mobula hypostoma (lesser devil ray) is the source of this 1420-nucleotide long non-coding RNA. RefSeq lists it as uncharacterized. NCBI's taxonomy places the organism in Eukaryota, Metazoa, Chordata, Chondrichthyes, Myliobatiformes, Myliobatidae. The record is from RefSeq and is a predicted model, not a curated record. The transcript has 3 exons.